CACGUGGGUAACGUUCCCUCGGGCGGGGGAUAACCUUCCGAAAGGAGGGCUAAUACCGCAUAAGACCACGACCUCGCAAGAGGACGGGUAAAGCAGGCCUCUGCACGCAAGCUUGCACCUGAGGAUCGGCCCGCGGCCCAUCAGCUAGUUGGUAGGGUAACGGCCUACCAAGGCUAAGACGGGUAGCUGGUCUGAGAGGAUGAUCAGCCACACUGGAACUGAGACACGGUCCAGACUCCUACGGGAGCAGCAGUGGGGAAUCUUGCGCAAUGGGCGAAAGCCUGACGCAGCGACGCCGCG
Molecule: ribosomal RNA, 300 nt
Filed under: uncultured Myxococcales bacterium
Lineage: Bacteria; Pseudomonadati; Myxococcota; Myxococcia; Myxococcales
Description: bacterial SSU rRNA
Rfam family: Bacterial small subunit ribosomal RNA
Source: RNAcentral